AUAUGAUUACAAGGUGAUGGGAGGUUCAAGUUCAAUCUUCUUGCAAGGGAAGGAGAGGGCUGGAAAUUCUGAGACAUUGAGUCUAAAGCUAGGAAGUGACAUUAUUUUGACUGAAAGGGUUCAAUCCUGCGGUGGUAUUUGGAGUGACAACAGCUCUUUGAAAAUGGGAAGAAGACGCCCCUUCAUACUUGCAGGAUCUCUCAUUAUCUCUGUUGCCAUAAGUCAAUCAUUGCAAUUCUAGAGCUGCGUGCUAGGUGGGGGAACAGGAACUCAGCUAGCUUUCAUGAAUUUUGUUUUUUGGGGAAUUGCAGGUGAUGUAAAAAACUAGUGUUAGUGUAGUCUAUCUCAAAUACUAAAUAUUUAUUCAUGGUUGAUAUCCAAU
This is a long non-coding RNA of Rosa chinensis, 382 nucleotides long. RefSeq lists it as uncharacterized. The transcript is spliced from 3 exons. Lineage: Eukaryota; Viridiplantae; Streptophyta; Magnoliopsida; Rosales; Rosaceae. The record is from RefSeq and is a predicted model, not a curated record.